CACGUAGGAGGCGAGCGUUGUCCGGAAUCAUUGGGCGUAAAGAGCGCGCAGGCGGCUUGGCAAGUCGGGUGUGAAAUCCCGGGGCUCAACUCCGGGACUGCAUUCGAUACUGUCAGGCUAGAGGUAGGUAGGGGAGAUCGGAAUUCCUGGUGUAGCGGUGAAAUGCGCAGAUAUCAGGAGGAACACCGGUGGCGAAGGCGGAUCUCUGGGCCAUUACUGACGCUGAGGAGCGAAAGCGUGGGGAGCGAACAGG
This 253-nucleotide ribosomal RNA is filed under the name uncultured bacterium. RNAcentral's name for it is "partial 16S ribosomal RNA". It matches the Rfam family "Bacterial small subunit ribosomal RNA", at positions 524 to 776 of the family's 1533-position model. The record is from RNAcentral.